RNAcentral lists this ribosomal RNA (253 nucleotides) under uncultured bacterium. Its description in RNAcentral is "partial 16S ribosomal RNA". It matches the Rfam family "Bacterial small subunit ribosomal RNA", at positions 524 to 776 of the family's 1533-position model. The record is from RNAcentral.
UACGAACCGUACGAACGUUAUUCGGAAUCACUGGGCUUAAAGGGUGCGUAGGCUGCGCGGAAAGUUGGGUGUGAAAUCCCUCGGCUCAACCGAGGAACUGCGCCCAAAACUGCCGUGCUCGAGGGAGACAGAGGUGAGCGGAACUUAGGGUGGAGCGGUGAAAUGCGUUGAUAUCCUAAGGAACACCGGUGGCGAAAGCGGCUCACUGGGUCUCUUCUGACGCUGAGGCACGAAAGCUAGGGUAGCGAACGGG